Myotis myotis is the source of this 2247-nucleotide long non-coding RNA. RefSeq lists it as uncharacterized. The record is from RefSeq and is a predicted model, not a curated record. Lineage: Eukaryota; Metazoa; Chordata; Mammalia; Chiroptera; Vespertilionidae. The transcript has 4 exons.
CUUGACACCCAGAAGGAGAGUAGUCACCGUGAUGGGAAUGAAACCGCUUGGAGCGAGAGGGAGGAUCCAUUCACUAGAUACAAUGUUUCCGGGACAUGGAGGAGAUACUCUUAAAGUGAGUUAUCAAGUGUAAAAGUGAGCCCCAAGGAGUACUCAGUGGUGGCAAUAACAAGAGCGUGCAGGGGCAAAAACUCUGAGGAAGGGGAACAUUGCUCUCCGCUUGGGGUUCUGUGGUCCCCAGGGGAUGAGGGUCUGCUGGGUCUGCAAAUGGCCAACUUCACGUUCUGAAGCGUAUAAGAAAGAGAACCAUUACCUUUCUAUGUUCCUCAAAACAAGACUCUGUAUACAACAGGACUGCACGACCAAGCCCAAAGUAAGACUACAGGUUUGUUGAUUUGGGAGUGGCGGGGGUGGGGGGUGUAGACUGAUGCUCCCAGAGAUCUUACCUGCCUUAUGCAUAGUUGUUCCUAAUAUGAGCACAUUAUAGACGUUCACUUAGUGUUUACUGGAUUGAAUUGAAUAUUAGAGAGUGGCUUUAACUUGCUAGGAUGGUUUUAGGAUCCCUAGUUCCAGACAAGGUUAGCAGUCACAGUAAGAACAAGAGUAAGAUGCCUGGGAGAAAAACGAGGGUCUUGGUUAAAUGCUUCUCGUGGUUAGAGCAUCAUGUUCCAGACCAGAAAAGGGAGGCAUCAUCUAGAAUUCCACCCACGUGAGUCAGGAGGAUUGGCCUUGGCUCCAGCCGGGGCGAUCACAGAGCAGAGGGCCACCAAGAGGGCGCAGGCAGGCAGAGAUGGCCACAAACAUUAGGCGAAAGGCAAAAACUUUGAAAACAUCAGGAGUGAGCUGGAUCUUGCUUUACCUUAGUUUAGUUAGUUUUCAAGUUACCUCAGGAAAGGCAGGGGCUAUUGCAGGACUACACGUGCAUUACUUUCAGAAACAGCCAGGAUCAGAGGCAGCUCCAGCCUAGACCGGCACCGUCUCGGCACAGCUGCUGCGCUCAAGCAUUUGCUCCAUUUUUCUCUCUCUCACCACAAGGUCAUCUGCUUCUGUAUUAGCUUCUGGGAGCAGCAGGGACACUAAACAGAGAGAUCUCUUAGAAUUUUCUAGUUCCAACAGAUUAUGGAAUUUUCCUGGGUCAUAGUAAUAUGUCACAGCCUAGCCAACGGAUGGGCUGCCCUUGGGUCAUACGUGCCUGUCCCUGGGAUCACAAGAUACAAAGGUGCCACCGAAAGUCUGGGGCUGUGGCUGAAGCUGGAGCUGGAGCAGUUCCCUUCACAUGGGUGUAUGAGGGGCAGGAGCUGUCAUUCCAGGACAGAGGUUCCUCUGGAGUUGGGGGCCAGGGCUGAUAGUGCUUGAGUGAUUCUCUUCUUUUCAUGUUACACAGCAGACGGAGGGUGGACAAGGGCACUGGCUCUCUUUAGGCUGGAAAGACAAACUACCAAAGAUAGAUGGCAGAAUAUGGCCCUUGCUGCUGGCUGGGCACCCUCAGGAAUGUUGCUGUCCAGAAUGGGAGGUGCCUCUGCUGCAUGUAUCUUUUGGGGAGGCAGUGGGCAGGUUGGCUAAGAACAUGAGUGAGGAUGUCGUGGGUUCUAAUCUCAGGAUGGCCACUUGGUUUGUGAUUUUGAAUAAAUAGCUCCCACCCUCUGAACUUCACAUUUUUUUAGUUAUAAAAUGGGAACAAUUCUAGCUUAGGUUGUUUAAAACAAAAUCAAGACCAUGUUAUCUUUACUACCUAAAUUCUGCAUGGCUUCCCAUUGUGCAAAAUUACAUCUCAAAUCCUUACACAAGCUGGCAACUCCCAGAACAAAUAUACCUCCUCAUGUCCAGGAUUUCCCCCAUGUCUUGCUCUGUUGCAGCCACACUGCCUCAUAGCGAUUCCUGUAAACUCCAGGCAUCCUCCUAUUCAGGCCCCUUGCACUAGCUGUAUUUUCUGUCUGGAAACAUCUUCACCCAGACAGCUUCAAGAUUCUUUCUUGGAUCAACUUCCAGUCUAUGCUAAAACAUUACUGUCUCAGUAGUUUCCCCUGCUACUCAGUUUAAAAUUAUAACCACUCCCCUUCUUCCCUGCAUGCUAGAUUCCUUUUGCCCUGCUUUAUUUUUCCAUUUUAGCUCAGUACAUAAUUAAUUAUUGAUCUUGCUAUGUUUUCUCUCCCACAGUAGAAUAUAAACCCCAGAGAAGAGGGAUUUUUGUCUAUUGUCUUUAUUGAUCUGGCUUCAGCACCUAUAAAGGAGUAGGCAUGAAAUAGA